UGGUAUACGAGAUCUGCCUUUGGGUAGACCUCCCACCCUGUGUCGUUAUACCUUUGUUGCUUUGGCGGGCCGCGGGGCUCCGGCCCUGCCUCUGGCUCCGGCUAGGGCGCGCCCGCCAGAGGACUCCCAAACCUGAAUGUUAGUGUCGUCUGAGUACCAUAUAAUAGUUAAAACUUUCAACAACGGAUCUCUUGGUUCUGGCAUCGAUGAAGAACGCAGCGAAAUGCGAUAAGUAAUGUGAAUUGCAGAAUUCAGUGAAUCAUCGAAUCUUUGAACGCACAUUGCGCCCCUUGGUAUUCCGGGGGGCAUGCCUGUUCGAGCGUCAUUACACCCUCAAGCUCUGCUUGGUCUUGGGCGUCACCGGUCCCGGUGUGCCUUAAAAUCAGUGGCGGCGCCGUCUGGCUCUAAGCGUAGUACAUACUCUCGCUACAGACGCCCGGCGGAUGCUGGCCAGCAACCCCCAAGCUAUCAAGGUUGACCUCGGAUCAGGUAGGGAUACCCGCUGAACUUAAGCAUAUCAAA
Molecule: ribosomal RNA, 522 nt
Filed under: Pezicula carpinea
Lineage: Eukaryota; Fungi; Ascomycota; Leotiomycetes; Helotiales; Dermateaceae
Description: eukaryotic LSU rRNA
Rfam family: 5.8S ribosomal RNA (bases 172-325)
Source: RNAcentral